AUUGUUCACUCUCCCUCAAGGGCUUCUCGCUUUAACAUCCAAGAACAAGACUAGAGGCCCUUGGGGAGGAGUAAAUAA
Molecule: non-coding RNA, 78 nt
Organism: Glycine soja
Lineage: Eukaryota; Viridiplantae; Streptophyta; Magnoliopsida; Fabales; Fabaceae
Source: Rfam